Molecule: ribosomal RNA, 892 nt
Filed under: uncultured bacterium
Lineage: Bacteria
Description: bacterial SSU rRNA
Rfam family: Bacterial small subunit ribosomal RNA
Source: RNAcentral
AGAGUUUGAUCAUGGCUCAGGACGAACGCUGGCGGCGUGCUUAACACAUGCAAGUCGAGCGGAAAGGCCCUUCGGGGUACUCGAGCGGCGAACGGGUGAGUAACACGUGAGCAACCUGCCCUAGGCUUUGGGAUAACCCUCGGAAACGAGGGCUAAUACCGAAUAUGACUGCUGGCCGCAUGGCUGGUGGUGUAAAGUUUUUCGGCCUGGGAUGGGCUCGCGGCCUAUCAGCUUGUUGGUGGGGUAAUGGCCUACCAAGGCGACGACGGGUAGCCGGCCUGAGAGGGCGACCGGCCACACUGGGACUGAGACACGGCCCAGACUCCUACGGGAGGCAGCAGUGGGGAAUAUUGCACAAUGGGCGGAAGCCUGAUGCAGCGACGCCGCGUGAGGGAUGACGGCCUUCGGGUUGUAAACCUCUUUCAGCAGGGACGAAGCGAAAGUGACGGUACCUGCAGAAGAAGCACCGGCCAACUACGUGCCAGCAGCCGCGGUAAGACGUAGGGUGCGAGCGUUGUCCGGAUUUAUUGGGCGUAAAGAGCUCGUAGGCGGCUUGUCGCGUCGACUGUGAAAACCCGCAGCUCAACUGCGGGCCUGCAGUCGAUACGGGCAUGCUAGAGUUCGGUAGGGGAGACUGGAAUUCCUGGUGUAGCGGUGAAAUGCGCAGAUAUCAGGAGGAACACCGAUGGCGAAGGCAGGUCUCUGGGCCGAUACUGACGCUGAGGAGCGAAAGCGUGGGGAGCGAACGGGAUUAGAUACCCUGGUAGUCCACGCUGUAAACGUUGGGCGCUAGGUGUGGGGGACCUCUCCGGUUUCCUGUGCCGCAGCUAACGCAUUAAGCGCCCCGCCUGGGGAGUACGGCCGCAAGGCUAAAACUCAAAUGAAUUGACGG